GUGGGGAAUUUUGGACAAUGGGGGCAACCCUGAUCCAGCAAUGCCGCGUGCAGGAAGAAGGCCUUCGGGUUGUAAACUGCUUUUGUACGGAACGAAAAGGCUCUGGUUAAUACCUGGGGCACAUGACGGUACCGUAAGAAUAAGCACCGGCUAACUACGUGCCAGCAGCCGCGGUAAUACGUAGGGUGCAAGCGUUAAUCGGAAUUACUGGGCGUAAAGCGUGCGCAGGCGGUGCUGUAAGACAGGCGUGAAAUCCCCGGGCUUAACCUGGGAAUGGCGCUUGUGACUGCAGUGCUGGAGUGUGGCAGAGGGGGAUGGAAUUCCGCGUGUAGCAGUGAAAUGCGUAGAUAUGCGGAGGAACACCGAUGGCGAAGGCAAUCCCCUGGGCCUGCACUGACGCUCAUGCACGAAAGCGUGGGGAGCAAACAGGAUUAGAAACCCGAGUAGUCC
This 450-nucleotide ribosomal RNA is filed under the name uncultured bacterium. RNAcentral's name for it is "partial 16S ribosomal RNA". It matches the Rfam family "Bacterial small subunit ribosomal RNA", at positions 354 to 796 of the family's 1533-position model. The record is from RNAcentral.